RNAcentral lists this ribosomal RNA (253 nucleotides) under uncultured bacterium. RNAcentral describes it as "partial 16S ribosomal RNA". It matches the Rfam family "Bacterial small subunit ribosomal RNA", at positions 524 to 776 of the family's 1533-position model. The record is from RNAcentral.
UACGGGGGGGGCAAGCGUUGUUCGGAAUUACUGGGCGUAAAGGGUUUGUAGGUGGCUUGUUAAGUCAGACGUGAAAUCCCUCAGCUUAACUGGGGAACUGCGUCUGAUACUGGCGAGCUUGAGUGCAGGAGAGGAACGCGGAAUUCCAGGUGUAGCGGUGAAAUGCGUAGAUAUCUGGAGGAGCACCGGUGGCGAAGGCGGCGUUCUGGACUGCAACUGACACUGAGAAACGAAAGCCAGGGUAGCAAACGGG